Molecule: Y RNA, 103 nt
Filed under: Myotis davidii
Lineage: Eukaryota; Metazoa; Chordata; Mammalia; Chiroptera; Vespertilionidae
Rfam family: Y RNA
About the family: Y RNAs are components of the Ro ribonucleoprotein particle (Ro RNP), in association with Ro60 and La proteins.
Source: Rfam by way of RNAcentral
GGCUGGUCCGAGUGCAGUGGUGUCUUACAACUAAUUGAUCACAGUCAGUUACAGAUUUCUUUGUUCCUUCUCCACUCCCACUGCUUCACUUGACUAGCCUAAA